Molecule: ribosomal RNA, 558 nt
Filed under: Triticum aestivum (bread wheat)
Lineage: Eukaryota; Viridiplantae; Streptophyta; Magnoliopsida; Poales; Poaceae
Description: partial small subunit ribosomal RNA
Source: RNAcentral
UCGGCUUAUGCGACAGCUUUCUGGGGCCGGGAGGUGAUCCCAACGGCGGACCUGACAUGGAAAUCACGUGCUCCUAUGCAAUGCAGGUUUUUCACAUGGCUAGCCAUGAAGGGCAGAUGUUGGACCUCGGAUCGCUUUGCGCGCAGAGGCCUACCUCACCAGGCCGCAUGUCCUUUUUGUGAUCAAGAGGAGGAAACGAUCAAUCAUGUUCUACUCACAUGUGUUUUUGCUCGGACAGUUUGGGCAGCGAUCUUCGUUGCGUUGGGGACACCGAGUUGGAUUCCUACUGCCCAAGACUCGCUGGUGGAGUGGGCAGUCGACAAGCAUGGAUCGAACAACGUCAGCACGAAGGACCUUCGCACCAUCUUCGCGCUUACUUGGUGGGAGUUGUGGAAGCAUAGAAAUGCCAUUGUCUUCGAGGGCGUGCAUCCUUCGGUUGAGCAGUUACUAAGAAAGGUGUGCUCUGAGGGUUCCUCUUGGUCAACCGCUGGGUUAUUACGAGGAAAUGUAAUGCCCUUCUUCGCUAGGAUAGAGAGGUGGGUAAGUGAUGAGGAUUAG